AAGCCACUUAGUAUUUUUUUUUUUCUAAACAGUAAGAAUAAAAAAAUUAGGCAUUUAAAAACUAAAAAAAAAUCAUAAAGGAAUAAAAGAAAAAAAAAAUGUUGAUAUUUUGUGUCAUCUCUCAUCGAAUGCAAAACUGGAGGACGCUUAAAGAAACUGGGCAAGCAGAACAUCAAAAAUGGAAGCAGAAGUCCCAUAUUCCUAUUUCAACCAUAGUUAAAUAACAUACUUAAUAAAAACAGUGCAUAGAUGUUUAACCUAACUAGAGGGAAAUAAAGAAAACCAUAAAAUAUUGGGUCUUUAGUGCCACCAGAAAGACUAAACAAAAUCCUGGAUAUGAAAAUACUUGGAUAUAUAAUAGCAAGCAUCCAAAGACAAAAGUGGCAUCCAUAGAAAUCUAUGAGAAUAAAAAUAAAUAUACCAUUUAGUGCCCAGUGCUGAUACCUAGGGCAGGUUAGAAUUAUAAAAAAAAAUGUUGUGGAUAUUUUGACUAAAGAUAUUCUGUGAUAAUCUGCUCUAAAACAAACAUUUCCUAAAUCCUAAACCUUUAGUAAGCAUGCACGACGAGCCUGUCACUUCAAAAACCUUAUUGGUGGUAUGGUGGAAAGCAACAUAUUAGCCUUAAAACAAACUUGCCCUAAAUAUUAUUAGAAAUGGUGAUUGCCACCAGAACCUCAAUGUUACCAUGAGGGACAUGGGACUGAUGAGUGAAUGAGUGAGUAUCCUAUCCUGCACUGAGAUAUGGCCUAUUAUAAUAAAUCACUGAAGAAACAUGGAUGUACUUAAAGGAGCACUCCAAACACUAUUUCAAGACACUGCCCUGGCACCUGUCAAUCCAAGUAAUGAAACUGUUUGGUAACAAAGCUUCGUUCUUAGAGGAGGUAGGGAGUGUUUCCUGACCGAACCCAGGAAACAAUUCAAAUGGUUAUUAAACUGACUUCUUACAUGGAGGGCUGCACUUCUGGUACCAAAACCACCGUAGAACGCUAUUGUGGUUCUGGUUCUUGGACGGUUCCUUCAAAUAUAUGGGGAAUGCCAAAUAGCAAAGCUCUUGGGAGAGAUCACAAAGAUAGUUCAGUGAGGCAUUGUGAUUCUGGUUUACCAGUCUACGGGCCAAUAAAUGAUAUAAGAAACAAUGAUAUAGAAAGCAGAAACACCUGUAUUUGGGAAGGUCAUUUCUUAAAGCCUCCAACCAAAUGUUCUCUAUUAAUUGUUUGACAUAUUUUUUUUUUAUUUUUUUUUGUUUUAUUGACUGUGUGCACCUGACUAAGAGCACUAGACUCUGGGAAACCCCGGCCACACAGGUACCGUUAUGUGAAAAAAAAGUAGUAAAAAAAUUAAACAAAAAGAGACGAAAACAAAUGAGGAACAACAUAACUUCUCACCUAAAUUACUUGCGAUAUUGUGAAAUUUUAAUAGACUGGUUAUGGAUUCUCUAUUUAUUCAGUUACUUAUAGAAGCCAAUGCCCACUCAUUAUCAUACUCUCUUCUGAUCUUUGCUAACCUUUCCUCUGCCCAACUACUUUUUUUCCAGCCAUGUUUUCAGAAAUGUACAUUCAGGUGGAUUUAUCAAAGUAUUCUGUUCUAAAAGGGAGUCUAACCUACUAAAGGUGUGGCAAUCACCAUGUAAAUCUGGAACCAGCAGGUAAACCCCAUUGUCGACUUCUUCCCAUUUAGAUUUUUUCAGAACUUUUUUUGAACAGAACACUUAAAUCUCCACCUUGUCGUUGAGCGCCAAUUGAAUUGUACUACUAUUUGCGAGGGUUAAUAGUUUUAAGGUUUUAAGGUUCACUUAUUCAAAUUAACUUAACUUGUCAAGGUUAAUCCACAACUUGCUGAGGAAUAAACAAUAUCUUAGUACCCUAAGGAUGUCACAGUUCCAAAGCCAGGCGACUUGGCCACUAUAGAGUUUUAUCUAUUCACUGUUCACUUUAUCAGUGUUGUGUUGGUCUACCAGGAACUGUUUAAAGUUCACACUGUCUGCUAAUUGACCCACUGGUGGAAUCAGUAUAUUCUACUUAAAAUAAAAUACUUAUGUAGAAUGUACACAAAAAAAUGACAAACAAAAUAAUGUUUCACCUGACAAACACAUGUUUCUUGUGUCUGGUCACGGUCCAUAAAAGCAGUCACAGAAGAGAUAAAAUAAUACAAUACAGAAGAUUGAAUUCCUCAAAUGCCUUGCGUCUCCUCUUUCCUGAUCCUUCUCUUAGAAUAUUUAAAGGAACACUAUAGUCAACAGAACAACUACAGCUUAUUGUAUUUGUUCUGGUGAGUAGGAUCAUUCCCUUCAGGCUUUUCGCUGAUAACUCCACUGGCCCCCUCCUCAGAUGGCUACUAGAGGUGCAUCCUGGAGCAGUGCUGCACACAGUGUUGACACAUUGUUGACACCAUUCAGUGUCUGCACUAUCUGCAUGCAGACACUAAACUUUCUUCAUUGAGAUGCAUUAAUUCAAAUCAUCUCUAUGAGGAGAUGCUAAUUGGCCAGGGCUGUGUUUGACUUGUGCUGGCUGUACCCCUGAACCUGCCUAUAGAACCCUCUUAUCAUUCAAUUAAUGAGAUGUUCUAUUUUGAGAUAAG
Molecule: long non-coding RNA, 2577 nt
Filed under: Pelobates cultripes (western spadefoot toad)
Lineage: Eukaryota; Metazoa; Chordata; Amphibia; Anura; Pelobatidae
Source: RNAcentral